UAGUUGGAUAAAGAACACAUCGAGUGUCCCCUAGAGUUCCCUUGACCACUUCACUGGGGACCUUCUCUAAUUAUAAUGACUUCCUACUGAAGUGUUUGGGGGAACUCCUGGUGCUAUUUGAUAGAUACCGACUAUCCAUCACACGUUAGUUACAUCAAUGGAGGAAAAGACAUGCUACAAGCUACGUUUUUAGUGCGCCUUGCUUCCAGAUGCUUUCCAGAUGGCUGAAUAACAGCAGAAAAGGUAUGCAAAAUAAGUAUUCAUCACAAGUUGGAUUCACAGGAUUGCAAUAGUUAUUGAUAUGAAUUCUCUGGAAAAAAAAAGUGUAUGAAAAAAUGAGACCCACCACAUAUUAGAAAUCAUGAGCAAACUUGCAUUUCAUCAACUUUGAGACUCAGUCCAAGUUAAUAAAAACUGCAAAAACCUGUUUUUCAAUGCUAAUUGAUCUGAAACAACUAAAUUUUUUGUUAGAAAUCACAACAUGGAUUGAAGCACAAUUUUCAGUCAAAGAGCAGGAGAUUGAUAAGCAGUAGAGGUCAUAAUCAUUUCUUGAAGAAUAUUCAAGACUUGGUGUUCACUUACACCAUCUAUGUUACAUUCAUAAAUACCAUCUCCAUUAUAUUUUGACUGGGUGAUUGAAAAUCUUGUUUAAGAAUACCACCAUAUCCUAUGUUAAAAGCAUCUGAUUCUAUAAUAGGAAAGGCAUCAGGAUUAAGAAUUUCUAAGCAAGGAAGACUCGUAACCUGCUUUUUGAGUAGGAAGAAAGAUGUGGUGACAAACACUCUUCUAUGAUAGUUGAGUGCAUCACAAGCAUUAUUUAUUCCACUUGGAUUCAUGAAGAGCCUUUUUUUCUGAAAAGCAUAAAAUUGAUUGCUUUUACAUUCCUCAUUUAUCUUCAGCUUUUACAGUUUCUCCCGAAUCGUCUCUAUGUUAAAAGCCAAUAAUAUUUCCAACAUGGCUGAUGGAAGGUUAAAGCAAGAGUAUUUAGACUCCAUGGGAACUGCUCUUCUAAUCAAUGGAUUGCAGCUGUGUAAAGAAUUCAUGGAAAAUCAGAGGCAACAGCAACAAAAGGCCACUCAAACAUAAUAAAAGUAUAAAGCAAAGAUCAACUCCAGCUGGUUGGAGAUUGGAGAUUAGCUGUUCUAAGGUCCUAAAGUGGCAGAAGUAGAAACGAGGUAAAACCAGAUCAUUUUACCUUAGGGUUAUUCACAAAAACAAGGGAUAGAUUCACAUGAUGUACUACAAAGAGUGAGAGGGUGGUAUCUGUGUCUAGGCUGUGUACCGCCUGAAAGCAUUGAUGAAUUUAUGAAACUUGGUUUGACAGUGGGACAAAUCCUUCUGGUUCACCACCUCAGCAAACAUACAUCCCACAGACCUCAAACCAGAAAGAAUGUAUUGUUGUUUGGGAGUGAAACAAGAUUUCUGAGAACCAAGACAGCAAAUACUGUAACUUGUGAGUUGGAUUCAGAAUGAAAUACAUAAGAUUUUUUGUCUAAA
Molecule: long non-coding RNA, 1497 nt
Organism: Vitis vinifera (wine grape)
Lineage: Eukaryota; Viridiplantae; Streptophyta; Magnoliopsida; Vitales; Vitaceae
Exons: 2
Source: RefSeq, a predicted model, not a curated record